GCGUGAGGACGACCUCCCCCUCCAUGGGCAUCAACUCGGGACGACCCGA
Non-coding RNA from Rhizobium sp. R72, 49 nucleotides. The record is from Rfam. NCBI's taxonomy places the organism in Bacteria, Pseudomonadati, Pseudomonadota, Alphaproteobacteria, Hyphomicrobiales, Rhizobiaceae.